GGAACGCGCAUCUUGACCGAGCCCUCGCAGCUCGGAGGUCGGAGAUGGGAGGUCGGAGCUGGGAGGUGGGAGGUGGUAGGUGGUAAGGACGACACAAUAACUAUACGGCUAGUAGUGUCCGAGAUGUGACUUGGUGAGCAGUUGCGUGUGAAGCAACGCAACACUUUGUCGUCUCGCUACCUUUUAAAACACCGACGGGCUUUUGCUAGUUUGGGAAUACGGUGAAGAGGAUGCGGAGACUGUGAAAGCAGAGACGGUGCAGGGUCAUAGGUCACGGUGCUGGAAUGCCUUUCCACCCUCUUUUGCCAGCUGACUGGGAGUAGCCAGUGGUUUGUUUUUUUUUUUUUCUCGAACUAACGUGCAGCUGACGACACCUCUCUACCUCAUCACACUCCAGAUUGCUGUUGAAACAACCAUUUAUUCUGCGUCCAUGAGAAAAACGUACACAAAAUACUGGACAUGCUGUAGCUCACAGUGAGGGUCAUUGGGGCCAGCUUGGAUCCAAAGGAGUUCCAGAAGUUCCAGAUACCCUCUGCCAUGGCCUUCUCAAGUGAUCACAACUUCACUGGAAAUUUGGAAGGGCAGGGCAAGAAUGGCUUAACCUCUGCACCAUCACUUGUGGAUGAGCAAAAUCUCAGUGCUGACUUUGAGCCUGCCCCAGUUGAGCCUUUAUGUCCAGGGGAACCCCAAAACAUGAUGCCAGCUACAACCCAACAAGCCAUGCCUGGUAACAGUCAGCAGAUAGGCCACUACAUUGGCAUGGAGUCACAGAAUGCUAUGGGGCAGGCAUUUUCUGGUCCUGGGGGCAUGGGUGGUGGAGGUGGUGGCAUAGUUGUAGACCAGCAUGGCCAGUACCCAAAUGCUAGUAUGAGCCAAGCAGGUAAUACGCUGUUCUUCAACCAAGACCAGAAUGGAAAUAUGUUCUACCGCUAUCGACCAUAUCUAUACAACCACAACCAGCAACUUUGUGUUUUACAACAAAAAACACAGCAGCAACAGCACUGCCCAAAUCAGCUGUUAAACCAGCACCAGCAUCACCAACUUUUCCCACAGGCUUUGCCUCUGCAGCAUCAUAAUUUCUCCUUUGACCAGGGAGGUCAAUCUCAGAGCCAAAAGCAAAGUCGCCUUUCUCGACAGCGGGUUCAGAACCAGCUACCUGCACAAGGAUUAAAGUCGCGUAUAAGGGCUAAGCAAAAAAAGACUUAUGUGGAUAGUCAAAAGACUUGCUUGCAACCACAGCAGCAGGGCAGCUACCAGUUGGCGAAGGCAGGUGAAGCCCUCUCUGGAUCAAGAUUGAGAGUCCCUCAAUCAUGCUUUCCUGUACAUUCAUCAUCUAUGACUCACUCCCUGCCGCUCAGUGCUGCCACUGCUUACGAAACUCCUCAGUACCCUCCCUACCGUGGAGACGCAGAAAUACCAAGUCACAGUCAGCAGCCAUUGUUCACAACCUCAGUGCCUGUUCCCACCACCAGCACUGCACCCCUCACUUCUACAGCACCCACCCACUCAGGGAGUGGAGGCCAGUUUCCAUCUACAGUCAGUCCUACCAAAGCUUGCCAACCUGCUCAGGACCCUUCCUACCCUGGAGACCCCAAAAUACCUAGUCACAAUCAACAGCCUUUGUUCACAACCUCAGUGCCUGUUCCCACCACCAGCACUGCACCCCUCACUUCUACAGCACCCACCCACUCAGGGACUGGAGGCCAGUUUUCAUCCACAGUCAGUCCUACCAAAGCUUGCCAACCUGCUCAGGAUGCUCCCUACCCUGGAGACCCAGAAAUACCCAGUCACAGUCAGCAGUCUUUGUCUACACCCUCAGUGUCUGUUCCCACCACCAGCACUGCAACCUUCACUUCUACAGUUCCCAGCCUUCCAGGGAUGGAAGGCCAGUUAGAGGAAAAUCUUCUCCAGACCCUAUGUUGCUCUGGAGUAUCCCAAGCCAACUCCAGCAUGGCCAGCCCACUGAGACCUCAAAGCUACGGGGCCAGUCUUUCCUUGGAAGACCUCCUGCAACCAGACGAGGAAAACUUGGGGUUCCUGGGGCACCCUGCUCUUCUGGUUGACCUACUGUCACAGCUGGAAUCUCCUCCCAGCCAACAGGAUGCAUCUGAGUACUCCUGUGUCCAGUCCAGCCAGGAGAGUGGGCAUGAGCACAGGACAUCGUCUGUUGGGUACAAGGUAGAAAAGUCGGAGUGUUCGACCUCCGAUGGGAAGUCGGACUGUUCAACUUCCCGGUCGGAAGUUGCUACCGGAACGACCCCUGAAGUUGGAUUUACAACUCUGAAAGUUGGAGGAACAUCACCAAACUCCGCCUCACAACCCAAGACACCUGCUCCGUAUCCCAGUCUUGGUCUUGAGGAGAACAUUGAAACGUAUUUGGAAUACAUGAAGUACACCACAUGUACUUCUGACUGCGCAAAGAUCCCAGAAAACCUGGUUAAACCCGGAGACACCAUCACAGACAGCUGCAAGGAGAAUGCCAAUCCUGCACCCCGCCCGUCACCAUCAGGUGUGACAACCAAUCACACAUUCAGCAAAGAGCAAACGCUGUUCAUAAUUAGCCAAGUGCAACAGCACAUUACGUCUGAUGGACUUGGUCUCCCUAAGAACCUGGCAGAAUUGAAUGACCGGCUGAAAUCUCCCAAAGGCAGUAAAAAGGAAUUCUGGAUGGACUUAAAAGAAAAGUUGAACAGUAAGUUCAGACAAGCGUUCAGCUAUGAGAAGGUAAACAGGAAAUGGAACACUCUGGUCGAAGGAUACAAGAAAGUGAAAGGCAAUAAUAAAUUAACAGAAAAAGGAACACGCUUCCAAUUUUAUGCAGAAAUGGAUGCACUUAUGGAUCAAAAUGAUGAACAAAAUGAAGUGGACCCAAUUUUCAAGACAUCAGAGGAGCUGCAGGUGUGCGGGCCUGAGGCCCUGGGACGUUGCAGCAGUGUCACAGCAUUCGCUGAAACUACACUUAGCCAAGCUACACCAAGACAACUUGCUGCUAAACGUAAGCCAGAACCCUCUGCCACACCUCCACCAGAACCCUCUGCCAUACCUGCGCCAAAACCCUCUGCCACACCUGCGCCAGAACCCUCUGCCACACCUGCGCCAAAACCCUUUGCCACACCUGCGCCAAAACCCUUUGCCACACCUGCGCCAGAACCCUUUGCCACACCUGCACCAGAACCCUCUGCCACACCUAUGCCUCCUUGCAAACGUAAAAAGUGGGAGGAUGAGGAAAAGCUGUCCUUGCGAGAGUUUGAUGAAAACUGUCAACGGCGCCACGAGGAAGUUAUGCACGUGCUAAACCGUCAACUGGAUGUUCAAAAGACGCAGACACAGCUUUUGUACAUGAUAUGUUCACAGCGGCGUUAAAAGCUGUACAGUGUCCAAGCUCUUGCACAAUUUUUUACCUUUUUGUUUUUUAGUUUAUUUAAAAAGGGACAGUGCAAAUGAACAAAUACACAUGGUAUAAAAAUGCCAGAAUUAGCCAAAAGGCUAUUUUUCAUUUGUAGUCCCUGGGCCAAGAUGUUACACGAGGCUACCUUAAAUACAACAAAGCACAAAAAAGCAAACCACAAAACAAAAAGUGAGAAAAAGGAAAAAAAAAAGAAGAAAGAAAACGACAUACAGUAUAAAAGACCGUCCUGUUAAUUAUUUACUUUCUGUUUGUCUUUUUUUUUUAAGUUUUUUUAAAAACAUUUUUAUAGAGUUUGCACAAAAAUAGCACUUCUUGCACAUUGUGUCUAAUUGUCUAUUAAUUGUAAAUAUAUAAUAUAUAUAUAUAAAAAAAAAUCUCCAACAGGCUCCGGCUGUGACACCUCAAAACACGGCAGGGAGGUCAAGUUGAGUGGCCUUUGGUGAGGCCUCGCUGACAGCCUGUCAGUCAGAGUGGCUACACCCUUAAUUAUGCAGAACUUAAAGCCUUAAUAACAUUUAAAGGGGAUUGUUAUAAAAAAUAUUCACCCCCGCAUAGUUCAAUCAAUCAAUCAAACUUUAUUUAUAUAGCACUUUUUGUACAAACAGAAUGUAGCACAAAGUGCUUUACACACACACACACACACACACACAGUCACACAAAAAGAUUAAUUCAGAGACUCUAAUGGUAAGGACCAAACAGUAGAAGACUACUAUAAAAACGGUAACUGAGGAAACGCUAUCAUAAGUAAGGAAACACCAGAGGCAGGAUAAAGCAGAGCGGAUUGCUGACAGCUAUCACAGAGCUGUCAAUCAGACUGGAGAGCAGUCUGUGUUUCUCCUGGGGGAUUUUAAUUGCUGUGACCCGACGUGGAGCAAUAUGAAACCACUACGGCCAGAAUGAACAAUAUACUGGACCUGUGCUAUGGGAAUAUCCCAAACGCAUAUGUAUCAAAGCCACGCCCCCCUCUCGGCCGGUCAGACCACAACAUCAUCCUGCUACUACCAAAAUACAGAUCACAACUUAAAAUGGGUGAGACAACAACAAAAACCAUUAAAGUCUGGAAUAAUGAAGCAACCGAAACACUCAGGUUGCUUUGAACUCACUGACUAGGACUUGUUUUUCAAUGACUGUGGUAGGGAUUUGAAUUCACUGACAGAAGUACUGACCUACAUUUUAUUCUGUGAGGACAC
This is an RNA transcript of Epinephelus fuscoguttatus (brown-marbled grouper), 4599 nucleotides long. It is a transcript of the gene named mucin-5AC-like, with no coding region annotated. Lineage: Eukaryota; Metazoa; Chordata; Actinopteri; Perciformes; Serranidae. The transcript is spliced from 7 exons. The record is from RefSeq and is a predicted model, not a curated record.